UGGGAAACCUGCCCAGAAGCGGGGGAUAACACCUGGAAACAGAUGCUAAUACCGCAUAACAACUUGGACCGCAUGGUCCGAGCUUGAAAGAUGGCUUCGGCUAUCACUUUUGGAUGGUCCCGCGGCGUAUUAGCUAGAUGGUGGGGUAACGGCUCACCAUGGCAAUGAUACGUAGCCGACCUGAGAGGGUAAUCGGCCACAUUGGGACUGAGACACGGCCCAAACUCCUACGGGAGGCAGCAGUAGGGAAUCUUCCACAAUGGACGAAAGUCUGAUGGAGCAACGCCGCGUGAGUGAAGAAGGGUUUCGGCUCGUAAAACUCUGUUGUUAAAGAAGAACAUAUCUGAGAGUAACUGUUCAGGUAUUGACGGUAUUUAACCAGAAAGCCACGGCUAACUACGUGCCAGCAGCCGCGGUAAUACGUAGGUGGCAAGCGUUGUCCGGAUUUAUUGGGCGUAAAGCGAGCGCAGGCGGUUUUUUAAGUCUGAUGUGAAAGCCUUCGGCUCAACCGAAGAAGUGCAUCGGAAACUGGGAAACUUGAGUGCAGAAGAGGACAGUGGAACUCCCAUGUGUAGCGGUGAAAUGCGUAGAUAUAUGGAAGAACACCAGUGGCGAAGGCGGCUGUCUGGUCUGUAACUGACGCUGAGGCUCGAAAGUAUGGGUAGCAAACAGGAUUAGAUACCCUGGUAGUCCAUACCGUAAACGAUGAAUGCUAAGUGUUGGAGGGUUUCCGCCCUUCAGUGCUGCAGCUAACGCAUUAAGCAUUCCGCCUGGGGAGUACGGCCGCAAGGCUGAAACUCAAAGGAAUUGACGGGGGCCCGCACAAGCGGUGGAGCAUGUGGUUUAAUUCGAAGCUACGCGAAGAACCUUACCAGGUCUUGACAUACUAUGCAAAUCUAAGAGAUUAGACGUUCCCUUCGGGGACAUGGAUACAGGUGGUGCAUGGUUGUCGUCAGCUCGUGUCGUGAGAUGUUGGGUUAAGUCCCGCAACGAGCGCAACCCUUAUUAUCAGUUGCCAGCAUUAAGUUGGGCACUCUGGUGAGACUGCCGGUGACAAACCGGAGGAAGGUGGGGAUGACGUCAAAUCAUCAUGCCCCUUAUGACCUGGGCUACACACGUGCUACAAUGGAUGGUACAACGAGUUGCGAACUCGCGAGAGUAAGCUAAUCUCUUAAAGCCAUUCUCAGUUCGGAUUGUAGGCUGCAACUCGCCUACAUGAAGUCGGAAUCGAUAGUAAUCGCGGAUCAGCAUGAAGCGGUGAAUACGUUCCCGGAAGGGGUUCACAGGGCCCCAGAAAGUGGUAACAAGGUACCCGUAGAGUGGCCCAGGCUCCGAAAGUCGUAACAAUGUACGCUCGAAA
This 1360-nucleotide ribosomal RNA is filed under the name Lactiplantibacillus argentoratensis. RNAcentral's name for it is "bacterial SSU rRNA". It matches the Rfam family "Bacterial small subunit ribosomal RNA". Lineage: Bacteria; Bacillati; Bacillota; Bacilli; Lactobacillales; Lactobacillaceae. The record is from RNAcentral.